This 701-nucleotide unclassified non-coding RNA is filed under the name Atta cephalotes. RNAcentral's name for it is "glutamic acid-rich protein, transcript variant X1". The record is from RNAcentral. Lineage: Eukaryota; Metazoa; Arthropoda; Insecta; Hymenoptera; Formicidae.
UAGAAGAAGAGGAAGAAGAGGAAGAGACGGAGUCUGAGGAAGAGUCAGAGUCUGAAGAAUCAGAGGAAGACGAUUCUGAGUCUGAUGACGAUCAAGCACCUAUUGAGAAGCGCAAAAACAAUUUGCAAGUGAAAACGUGUGACGAAACACGAGGGACGACUGGCAGCCUUGAAAAAGGGUAAUUAUUUGUUGAAAGCGCAGGUAGACAGGAUCAAGGACAAUUUAAUGAAGCAGCGAGAAGAUAGUCUCACCCUGCAGGAGGAUCUUGAUUCUGUCUUAGCCGAACUAGGUUAGACUAAAAAACAGCCUAAGCAAAGAAUAUUUCCAAAGAAUGUAUCGUAUGCAAAUGCACAUAUUAAAAUAUAGACAAUUGUAUGUUACACACAUAUUUUUAAAUAAAUUAUUAUUAUUGAUCGAACGCGGAAAUUCUCGUAACAGCUUACUAAGGAAGCGAAUUUCUUCGAUAAAAUAAUAACUCUAUGUAUGAUUCUAUUCUAAGUAAGAAUUUAAGAUGUAAAUAUUCAAGCCAAGGACUUGAAACAUUUCCUGGUGCUUUGAAUAUUGAUUGAAUGAAUGAGUUUGAUUUUUUCAAUUGUUAAACAUGAAUUUGCUGCUAAUAAAGUAAAAUAAAAUAUAUGUAUAUCUAACAAAUGCACUUUGUUAUCGCAAUAAAACCAUUAUUGUUUUAUUAGCAGAAUAAA